RNAcentral lists this small RNA (56 nucleotides) under Oceanobacillus caeni. Its description in RNAcentral is "Bacillaceae-1 RNA". It matches the Rfam family "Bacillaceae-1 RNA", at positions 9 to 67 of the family's 67-position model. Lineage: Bacteria; Bacillati; Bacillota; Bacilli; Caryophanales; Bacillaceae. The record is from RNAcentral.
AAGGUCGGCUAAAAGCGCAACGUCCUGUUGCAACGCCGACACUAGCACGUCCUGUG